GCCUAUUAGCUAGCCGCCUAAACUAAAAACAACAAACUAUUAUUUAUACCCCCUAAAUCACUCAAUUACAUCAAGUAAACCAUUUUUCCCCCUAAGUAUGGGCGACAGAAAAGGAACUCCCGCGCUAUAGAGGAAGUACCGCAAGGGAAUGCUGAAAGAGAAAUGAAAUAACCUAGUAAAGCCCAAGAAAGCAGAGACUUUACCUCGUACCUUU
RNAcentral lists this ribosomal RNA (214 nucleotides) under Otolithes ruber. Its description in RNAcentral is "partial 16S ribosomal RNA". Lineage: Eukaryota; Metazoa; Chordata; Actinopteri; Sciaenidae. The record is from RNAcentral.